Molecule: ribosomal RNA, 601 nt
Filed under: uncultured bacterium
Lineage: Bacteria
Description: bacterial SSU rRNA
Rfam family: Bacterial small subunit ribosomal RNA
Source: RNAcentral
UAGCGUUACUGACGCUGAAGCUCGAAAGCGUGGGUAUCGAACAGGAUUAGAUACCCUGGUAGUCCACGCGGUAAACGAUGGAUGCUCGCUGUUUGCCUUAUAUGGUAAGCGGCCAAGCGAAAGCAUUAAGCAUCCCACCUGGGGAGUACGCCGGCAACGGUGAAACUCAAAGGAAUUGACGGGGGCCCGCACAAGCGGAGGAACAUGUGGUUUAAUUCGAUGAUACGCGAGGAACCUUACCCGGGCUUGAACUGUAGGUGAACGAUUCAGAGAUGAUGAGGUCCUUCGGGACGCCUAUGGAGGUGCUGCAUGGUUGUCGUCAGCUCGUGCCGUGAGGUGUCGGCUUAAGUGCCAUAACGAGCGCAACCCCUUUCCGCAGUUGCCAUCAGGUUAAGCUGGGCACUCUGCGGAUACUGCCACCGCAAGGUGUGAGGAAGGUGGGGAUGACGUCAAAUCAGCACGGCCCUUACGUCCGGGGCUACACACGUGUUACAAUGGCGCAUACAGCGAGUUGGUCUUUGGCAACAGAGGUCUAAUCAGUAAAAUGCGUCGUAGUUCGGAUUGGGGUCUGCAACCCGACCCCAUGAAGCUGGAUUCGCUA